GAACGUACGCUGGCGGCACGCCUAACACAUGCAAGUCGAACGAAGUAGCAAUACUUAGUGGCAGACGGGUGAGUAACAUGUAGGUAUCUGCCCUUUGGCCUGGAAUAACACGAGGAAACUUGUGCUAAUACCGGAUAAGUCUUUACGGAGAAAGCUUUAUGCACCAUUGGAUGAGCCUGCACUUGAUUAGUUUGUUGGUGGGGUAAUGGCCUACCAAGACUGUGAUCAAUAGCUGAUUUGAGAGGAUGAUCAGCCACAUUGGGACUGAGACACGGCCCAAACUCCUACGGGAGGCAGCAGUGGGGAAUCUUGCACAAUGGAGGAAACUCUGAUGCAGCGAUGCCGCGUGAGUGAAGAAGGCCCUUGGGUUGUAAAGCUCUUUCGUCGGGGAAGAAAAUGACUGUACCCGAAUAAGAAGGUCCGGCUAACUUCGUGCCAGCAGCCGCGGUAAUACGAAGGGACCUAGCGUAGUUCGGAAUUACUGGGCUUAAAGAGUUCGUAGGUGGUUGAAAAAGUUAGUGGUGAAAUCCCAGAGCUUAACUCUGGAACUGCCAUUAAAACUUUUCAGCUAGAGUAUGAUAGAGGAAAGCAGAAUUUCUAGUGUAGAGGUGAAAUUCGUAGAUAUUAGAAAGAAUACCAAUUGCGAAGGCAGCUUUCUGGGAUCAUUACUGACACUGAGGAACGAAAGCAUGGGUAGCGAAGAGGAUUAGAUACCCUCGUAGUCCAUGCCGUAAACGAUGUGUGUUAGACGUUGGAAAUUUAUUUUCAGUGUCGCAGGGAAACCGAUAAACACACCGCCUGGGGAGUACGACCGCAAGGUUAAAACUCAAAUGAAUUGACGGGGACCCGCACAAGUAGUGGAGCAUGUGGUUUAAUUCGAAGAUACGCGCAGAACCUUACCAACACUUGACAUGUUCGUCGCGACUCUAAGAGAUUAGAGUUUUCGGUUCGGCCGGACGAAACACAGGUGCUGCAUGGCUGUCGUCAGCUCGUGUCGUGAGAUGUUGGGUUAAGUCCCGCAACGAGCGCAACCCUCACUUUUAGUUGCCAUCAUUAAGUUGGGCACUCUGAAAGAACUGCCAGUGAUAAGCUGGAGGAAGGUGGGGAUGACGUCAAGUCCUCAUGGCCCUUACGUGUUGGGCUACACACGUGCUACAAUGGUAUCUACAACAGGAAGCAAAACUGCGAAGUUAAGCAAAUCCCUAAAAGAUACCUCAGUUCGGAUUGCACUCUGCAACUCGAGUGCAUGAAGCUGGAAUUACUAGUAAUCGUGGAUCAGCGUGCCACGGUGAAUGCGUUCCCGGGUCUUGUACACACCGCCCGUCA
RNAcentral lists this ribosomal RNA (1326 nucleotides) under uncultured Alphaproteobacteria bacterium. RNAcentral describes it as "bacterial SSU rRNA". It matches the Rfam family "Bacterial small subunit ribosomal RNA", at positions 27 to 1399 of the family's 1533-position model. Lineage: Bacteria; Pseudomonadati; Pseudomonadota; Alphaproteobacteria. The record is from RNAcentral.